UCCGGUCCUCGGUAGUGGUCUCCGGAGCCUCGCUCCGUGGUCCUCGAUCGAAGACCGCC
Molecule: regulatory RNA element, 59 nt
Organism: Cellulomonas gilvus ATCC 13127
Lineage: Bacteria; Bacillati; Actinomycetota; Actinomycetes; Micrococcales; Cellulomonadaceae
Rfam family: Actino-pnp RNA
Source: Rfam